RNAcentral lists this ribosomal RNA (305 nucleotides) under uncultured bacterium. RNAcentral describes it as "bacterial SSU rRNA". It matches the Rfam family "Bacterial small subunit ribosomal RNA", at positions 334 to 658 of the family's 1533-position model. The record is from RNAcentral.
GGCGCCUAGGGGGCAGCAGUGGGGGAUAUUGCACAAUGGGGGAAACCCUGAUGCAGCGACGCCGCGUGAGCGAUGAAGUAUUUCGGUAUGUAGAGCUCUAUCAGCAGGGAAGAAAAUGACGGUACCUGACUAAGAAGCCCCGGCUAACUACGUGCCAGCAGCCGCGGUAAUACGUAGGGGGCAAGCGUUAUCCGGAUUUACUGGGUGUAAAGGGAGCGUAGACGGCAGUGCAAGUCUGAAGUGAAAGGCAAGGGCUCAACCCUUGGACUGCUUUGGAAACUGUGCUGCUGGAGUGUCGGAGAGGG